This 1632-nucleotide ribosomal RNA is filed under the name marine metagenome. RNAcentral describes it as "bacterial LSU rRNA". It matches the Rfam family "Bacterial large subunit ribosomal RNA", at positions 1096 to 2641 of the family's 2925-position model. The record is from RNAcentral.
GGAUGUUGGCUUAGAAGCAGCCAUCAUUUAAAGAAAGCGUAACAGCUCACUGGUCAAGUGAUCCCGCGCGGAAAAUUCAACGGGGCUCAAGCGUUGUACCGAAGUUGCGAAAUCGACGCCCAGUUUACUGGCCGUCGAUUGGUAGGGGAGCGUUCCGCUCGCAGUGAAGGCAGACCGGAAGGACUGCUGGAGCGUGCGGAAGUGCGAAUGUCGGCAUGAGUAGCGAAAUGUGAGUGGGAAUCUCACACACCGUAUGGCCAAGGUUUCCUGAGCAAGGCUCGUCCUCUCAGGGUUAGUCGGUCCUAAGUCGAGGGCGAACGCCGUAGACGAUGGACAUCUGGUUGAUAUUCCAGAACCACCAAAGACCGUUUGCACCGCAAGGUGUCGUCGGGCCGAGGCGGAGGGUGGCUCUCUGACGCAAGUCAGGGGGUACUCCGAGCCGGAGUUCGAUGGGAGCAAGGGCAUGACGGGGUCUGGUAGUUCGAGCGUGCUAUGGAAUGCACGUCCAAGCUCGUAGGGGGUGGGACUAGGUAAAUCCGGUCCCGCAUUCAACUCUGAAAAGCGAUGGGAAGGGGUGUAUGCCCUGACUCGAGCAAGCCAAGCCUCCAAGAAAAGUGUCUAGCGAGGUCCUAGGUGACCGUACCGCAAACCGACACAGGUGGGCGGGUAGAGAAUACCAAGGCGAUCGGGAGAACCCUCGUUAAGGAACUCGGCAAAAUAGCCCCGUAACUUCGGGAGAAGGGGCGCUCUCAUGUGCAGCUUGCUGUAUGUGAGAGCCGCAGUGAAUAGGCCCAGGCGACUGUUUAGCAAAAACACAGGUCUCCGCUAAAGCGCAAGCUGACGUAUGGGGGCUGACGCCUGCCCAGUGCUGGAAGGUUAAGAGGAGGGGUGCAAGCUCUGAAUUGAAGCCCCAGUGAACGGCGGCCGUAACUAUAACGGUCCUAAGGUAGCGAAAUUCCUUGUCGGGUAAGUUCCGACCCGCACGAAUGGCGUAACGAUCUGGGCACUGUCUCAACGAGGGAUCCGGCGAAAUUGAAAUACCAGUGAAGAUGCUGGUUACGCGCGCUGGGGCAAAAAGACCCCGUGGAGCUUUACUACACCCUGAUAUUGAAUUGAGGCUCGACCUGUGUAGGAUAGGUGGGAGGCUUUGAAACUGGGGCGCUAGCCUCGGUGGAGCCGUCGUUGAAAUACCACCCUUGUUGUGUUUCGUUUCUAACCCCGUGCCGUUAUCCGGCCGGGGAACAGUGUCAGGCGGGUAGUUUGACUGGGGCGGUCGCCUCCUAAAGAGUAACGGAGGCGCCCAAAGGUCCUCUCAGGCUGGAUGGAAAUCAGCCAUAGAGUGCAAAGGCAUAAGAGGGCUUGACUGCGAGACCUACAAGUCGAGCAGGUGCGAAAGCAGGGCUUAGUGAUCUGAUAACUCCGAGUGGAAGGGUUAUCACUCAACGGAUAAAAGCUACCCCGGGGAUAACAGGCUGAUGGUGCCCAAGAGUUCAUAUCGACGGCACCGUUUGGCACCUCGAUGUCGGCUCGUCGCAUCCUGGGGCGGAAGUACGUCCCAAGGGUUUGGCUGUUCGCCAAUUAAAGCGGUACGUGAGCUGGGUUCAGAACGUCGUGAGACAGUUCGGUCUCUAU